GGGGUGCACAGGGAGUGGCACCACAAAGGGAAUUGCCCCUCAGGAGCAGAGGGUUAUGUCAGAGGGGAGGCGCGAACCAGGUCUCAUAGCACUUUCUAGGACGUAAUGAGUAUGGAUUCUAUGUUGCCAUGGGAAGCCAGCAUCCUUGCACGAGGUGGUUAAGUGCUGAGAGAAGAUAAAUCAGCUUGCUUGUUUUUCGAGGGAACUGGCUGAAAACCCAGUAGAUUUUGGUGGCUGUUCUUGACUAAGAAGAGUGUGGAACAAAGUCACAGAGCCACGGCCCCAGACAAGACCUGGAUGAAGCGCUACAGCCUGGUAGUGCCAAGACUGGGAGGGAAACAGAAGAGCACUAUGAGACAGAAUCCAGAAGCAAGGAGAGGAAGGAAAGGCCUUGGACCCCAAUGCACAUUUUUCCCCCAGGAUUGCAAAUAA
Molecule: long non-coding RNA, 432 nt
Filed under: Gorilla gorilla gorilla (western lowland gorilla)
Lineage: Eukaryota; Metazoa; Chordata; Mammalia; Primates; Hominidae
Description: lncRNA (ENSGGOG00000044389.1)
Source: RNAcentral